This 776-nucleotide long non-coding RNA is filed under the name Neogobius melanostomus (round goby). RNAcentral describes it as "lncRNA (ENSNMLG00000002350.1)". The record is from RNAcentral. Lineage: Eukaryota; Metazoa; Chordata; Actinopteri; Gobiiformes; Gobiidae.
UAUUACUAAACUAGUAGUAGUGAAACAUUUUUGACAAACAUAACACAAAAUAACAGAUAACUUGCAUGAAUUAUGUUUAACACACACAUGUUGCUUUUCAGACUGUUUGCUGCUGCUCUUUCUCCCCCUGACUUCUGACCCUGGCUCACUUUGAUGACAUCAUGACUACUUCUGAGACAUACGAGGGGAAACAGCGGCCGCUUACUCAGACCAGCUGCAAUGGACAGACUGGAAGUUGUUCUGCACAAAAGAAGCCAGACCCAGAACAAAGCAACACCUUGGUCCCGACUGAGCGCGCGUCAGGGUUUCCCAACCAGGGGUGCAGGGACCCAUGGGGGCAUGCGAACAAGAGUUUUGGAGGGUCCGUGUGAACUGCUGGCACGAGUAUGGCGGAGGCUUCGGAAUCGCUGGAGAAUCUCAUCGAGAACCGCAUCCACAGCCUCCAAAACCGGCGCUUCUUUUUGCAGCAGAUGCAGGAGAGGAUCAGGAGAGCGGAGGGGCGAGAAGGCGACACGGGGCACAGUAAGGCACAAGUCGAGCAGUAAACAUAUUUACACCUUUAGCUUUAUGUACAGACUCUGAAAUCAUGUGGAUUUACAAAUGUAGUUUGUAACAGAGUUGGGGCGGGAGUAGCACUGUUGGUGGGUCAUCCAAGCUGCUGAAUCAGAAGGUCGGUGGAUCGAACCCGGCUCCCACCAGUGCUGUUGUUGUGUCCUGAAGCAAGACAGAUCGCCUGCUUUGCCUUCCGUGUCUGAGUGAAUGGGCGUCUUACGUAA